CCGAGUUUACAACUCCCAAACCCCAAUGUGAACGUUACCAAUCUGUUGCCUCGGCGGGAUUCUCUGCCCCGGGCGCGUCGCAGCCCCGGAUCCCAUGGCGCCCGCCGGAGGACCAACUCAAACUCUUUUUUCUCUCCGUCGCGGCUUCCGUCGCGGCUCUGUUUUACCUUUGCUCUGAGCCUUUCUCGGCGACCCUAGCGGGCGUCUCGAAAAUGAAUCA
This 220-nucleotide ribosomal RNA is filed under the name Trichoderma reesei. RNAcentral's name for it is "internal transcribed spacer 1 (ITS1)". Lineage: Eukaryota; Fungi; Ascomycota; Sordariomycetes; Hypocreales; Hypocreaceae. The record is from RNAcentral.